GACGAACGCUGGCGGCGCGCUUAACACAUGCAAGUCGAACGGAAAGGCCAGCUUUCCCUUGUGGAUUGCGGGUACUCGAGUGGCGAACGGGUGAGUAACACGUGAGUGAUCUGCCCCCAACUUGGGUAUAAGCCUGGGAAACUGGGUCUAAUUCCCGAUAGGACUGCAGGGUGGUGCCUGUGGUGGAAAACGAUUUUCUAGUGGUUGGGGAUGAGCUCGCGGCCUAUCAGCUUGUUGGUGGGGUAAUGGCCUACCAAGGCGGCGACGGGUAGCCGGCCUGAGAGGGUGGACGGCCACAUUGGGACUGAGAUACGGCCCAGACUCCUACGGGAGGCAGCAGUGGGGAAUAUUGCACAAUGGGCGGAAGCCUGAUGCAGCGACGCCGCGUGGGGGAUGACGGCCUUCGGGUUGUAAACUCCUUUCGACCGCGAGGAAGCCACCUGGUUGGAAGGGUGGUGACGGUAGUGGUAGAAGAAGCACCGGCUAACUACGUG
Molecule: ribosomal RNA, 494 nt
Filed under: uncultured bacterium
Lineage: Bacteria
Description: partial 16S ribosomal RNA
Rfam family: Bacterial small subunit ribosomal RNA
Source: RNAcentral